This 95-nucleotide microRNA precursor is filed under the name Caenorhabditis briggsae. RNAcentral describes it as "microRNA cbr-mir-44 precursor". Its record names the gene cbr-mir-44. It matches the Rfam family "mir-44 microRNA precursor family". Lineage: Eukaryota; Metazoa; Nematoda; Chromadorea; Rhabditida; Rhabditidae. The record is from miRBase by way of RNAcentral.
GAGAAGGGCCGAUCUGGAUGUGCUCGUUAGUCAUAGACGAAUCACACUUGAAAGGUCAUAUGACUAGAGACACAUUCAGCUUGGCCUGGAUCUCA